Molecule: long non-coding RNA, 402 nt
Filed under: Oryza sativa tropical japonica subgroup
Lineage: Eukaryota; Viridiplantae; Streptophyta; Magnoliopsida; Poales; Poaceae
Description: lncRNA OsKeNa_08g0010580
Source: RNAcentral
CGAGGAAAUAGUGAAGCUCCGACCACUGUACGCAUCGAGGCGUGGGGUGCCAGGAGCAGCACUUCGACCUUGGGUUUGGUUUUGCCGGGCUUUACAAUCAACGGUCCGACGUCGGGGAUAGUAAACCGCGAACGUCCCCAUGGAAGGCGUAAAUGGGGCGGAAGUGUUACUCCGACAACCGUGAGUGGCGGCGGAGCGGCUAGGAUCACACAGAGCCCAAGAGCUAACUGUGCGGCGUGCUGUGGAGGUCGAGGAAAUAGUGAAGCUCCGACCACUGUACGCAUCGAGGCGUGGGGUGCCAGGAGCAGCACUUCGACCUUGGGGUUUGGUUUUGCCGGGCUUUACAAUCAACGGUCCGACGUCGGGGAUAGUAAACCGCGAACGUCCCCAUGGAAGGCGUAA